CCAAACAUCUUACGCAGCUUCCAAUUGUGUGCAGGAAGCUCCUGCAGCCAAUUGGAAGCCACACCUUGGUUAUCGAAUGUUUUCGGAAGUCGGACAGACUUCCGGAACAGAUUUCGUUCGACAACCAAGGUACGACUGUAAGUGUAAUCCAGCUAGCAGCUGUGAUCAUGAUGGAAAAGGAGCUGUGAGAUUCAAGUCUGGACCGUGCUCCUGAUCUAGACUGGCACCUUGUGAAGAUUCACUGCUGAAAAUUGCAUGUAUACACGCACACACAUUGUUUACAGUGUUUGUAGGAAACAGCAUCUUAACAGGCAAAUACCAGGUGUGUUCAACAUGAGCAGGUCUAGAAAUGGGUGUGAGGCCCCAAUCCAGCUUGGGAACACUUUCCAGAUAGGUAACCCCCAGCUUCUAUUUCUUCUAAAUGGUAGUGUGUGAAUAAUGCAACAGCUGGGUACUGCCUAGUUGGUGCCGACCCACAAUAGGGCCUUUUUGGUAGUGGCUCCCCAUUUAUGGAAGGCCUUCCAUGGGGAUAUGUUGUGUUUCUGUCUCCCUUGUUAUUAACAUUCAGGUGGAAUUUUAAAACAAUCCUGUUCAAUGCAUGGGCAUUUGAUGGCCGCAAUAUAUAGUUCCUGGCAACCUUGAACAUUUUAGCCGUGAGAAUACUUGAUCAUUUCUCUCUUAUGGAGGCAUAGAAUUGUAGAGUUGGAAGAGACCUAAGGGUCAUUUAGUCCAACCUCCUGCAAUACAGGAAGCUCUCUCUCUCAUAUUAAUGGCAUUGUUUUGCUGUUUUAUUUCUUGUCACCCUGUGCUCCUUUGAGAGGAAGGGUGGGAUAGAAAAUUAAUAAAUUAAUUUAGCUGAUUAAUAUUCUACAGCUUUUUUAAAUGUGGGGGGAGGCUAUUGUUUUGUUUUUGUUUUAACUUGUGUUUUUUUCUUGUGAACUGCCUUUAGAUCUUUUGAUGAGGGGCAGAAUCUCAAAUAAAUAAACAAAUCACCAGGGAGUUUGGCCCUCAGCCAGGUCAGUCCAGAUGAUAGCCAUUGAUCAAAUGUUUCCAAGUGAGACAGAGGGAUAGGGAUGGGGGAGUCCCCUUUGGUGAGAUACUCUUCAAACAGUGAAGGAAAUAUCACCCUGGAGCCAUUUUAGAAAACCGUGUCCCUGUUUUACUGCACCUGCUGUUUUUCACAGAACAUGUCCACGAAUGUACCAUGGACUCCUGGUUUAUUCUGCACCUCUUAGUGUCCCAGACUGGAGUUCCACAGCCAGGCAUUGUCACAAGAAAGUGAGCCCAUCACUCCAGAGCUGCUAGCAUUCAAGUAGCAUCCCACAUCUUUCAAGCCGAGUGCCCCCCCCCCAUCCUUGAGAGUUUCAAGCAGCAGAGUUGCUGCCAAAUGCACUCUCUCAAAUGCAUUUCAUCCAAGAAAAGGGUAGCACAGCACCACAUCACUUGCCCACCAGAAUGGAUGCUCAUUACCCUGAGAUAUCAAGGUCAGAGUUGAUUGAAGGUGUAAUUCUGUAACCAGUCUUCUGCUGCUGAUUUCAUACUCUGACAAUGAUGUGAGACCUUCCCACGCUUGUUUAACUAAAAAAAUAAAAUAAAUCUAUUUAACCGUCCUGCUCAAUCUGGAGAGGUAUGAACGCCCCCUUUCUCCCACCAGCCAAACAGCAGCCGUUUCUCUUGCACCAUUACUAGCAACAUAAUGUGAUCACUGGGUUGUCCAGUCCAACCUCCUGCAAAACAGGAACCAUAGCUAAAGAAUCCAUAACAGAUGGCCAUCUAACCUCUGUUUAAAAACCUCCAGUGAAGAUGAGUCCACCACCUUACAAGGGAGUCCGUUCCACUGUCAAACAGUUUUUACAUUCUAAAAGUUCUUCUUUAUGUUUACUUGGACUCGCCUUUCUCGUAACUUAAAUCUGUUGGUUUGGGUCCUACCCCUCUGGAGCAGCAGAAAAUAAGCCUUCUCCAUCUUCCAUGUGCCAGCCCUUUAGGUACAGUGGUACCUCGGGUUAAGUACUUAAUUCGUUCCUGAAGCACCACUUUAGCUAAUGGGGCCUCCUGCUGCCGCCGCGCCGCUGGAACAUGAUUUCUGUUCUCAUCCUGAAGCAAAGUUCUUAACCCGAGGUACUAUUUCUGGGUUACCGGAGUCUGUAACCUGAAGCGUCUGUAACCUGAAGUGUAUGUAACCCGAGGUACCACUUUAUUUGCAAGGUGGCUAUCAUAUCCCCUCUCAAUCUUCUCCAGGCUAAACACACCCAACUCCCUCAACCGUUCCUCAUAAGGCUUGGUUUCUUCAUGAGACAAAUUCAGGGAGAGUAAGGAUAUCAACAUCUACUAACCUUUUUUGCAGGAAGGGGGAUUCCUGCACUCAAGCAUUCCUGAGUUGCAAAGAGAGUGGCAGCAGCACACAUGCAGAUGAAUUUGCAGGUCUCUGAACUGAGCCCAGAAGCAAGCAAGACUGCUGAAUAGGAACUUAGGAAACUGCCUUAUACUCUUGGCCCAUCUAGCUCAGCAAUGUCUACACUGACUGGCAGCAGCUCUCUGGCCUCUCAGACAAGGGCCUCUCUCAGCCCUACCUGGAGAUGCCAAGGAUUGAACAUAUGGCCUUCUGCACACAAGACAGAUGCUUUGUCCCUGAGCUACAGCCCUUCCCUAAGGGAUCACCCUUCCCGCCUCCCCAUAGCAGCUUCUCGUGUGGGGAGGAACUGUAUGCAAAACCCUUCCACAAAUGUAUAUUGCUCCUCAUACAGGGCACCUGUAGGUUGCCACGAACAAAACACAUACCCUGAUGCUAUUUUGGGAAUACGCAGGAACAAAUGGUGCAUUGUGAAUCAAGUGUUGCCUCUUUAUGAAUGGAGAGGCUCUCAUCUGUGCGAAUGGUAAUGACUGGAUGUCACGGAGCCCUGGGGAAGAACUUUGCCAUGUGAGAAUAACACCAGCCAGUCCACAUGUUGUCAACCGAGAAGAGGGCAGGGGACUGAGGGUGGAGGAACAUGCCAUGCUGAUGCCCACUGAAUGUCCACAGGCAUGUCUCAUGUCAGUGCUUUUCCAGAAUGAAUAUGCUGCAUCAGGUCAACUGCAGAAGCAAAAUGUCAGGACUAAUAGUUUCACUAGCAAAAUAGGAAAUUUCCACCAAGGGGCAGGGGGCAAUUGAGGUAACAUAAGCAAAUCAGCAAAGUGUAUAUAUUGUGCAAUGAUUCCUUCUUCCACUACUACUUAGGUUUGGGGACAUUGCUUUGAGCAGAGAUUUCCUUGGCUCUGCAGAGAAACCCAGCAAGGGAUCUUGUUUGUAUUCUGGCAGUGUAGCUGAGGCAGACAGGUCUGCAGCAAACCGAUCUAUUUUUGGACUCCGGCUUGCCAUUUAUAUCCCGCAAAAUUAUUCAUCAGCUUCAGGGUGACAAGCUAUUAAUUUGUAUAAAUACGUCAGAGCAGGGCUUUUUCCACCACUCCGCCCUUUCGCCUUCAUGUGCGGCGUGACUGAGGUCAGUUUCAGAACACAAAUAAAGUGCCUUCAGCUUGCAGCCGGUUCCUUGUCUGCUGUUCAUUCAUAUUCUAGAUGCAUCAGCUUACCCAGUUCCAUUUGUUCCUUAUUAUUACUGCAGAGGAGGGCAAAAUAGCAGCAGGGCUUAGCUGGGAUUCCUCAGCUGGUUAUCUUUAGCGAUGCUGGAUUGGUGAUGACAGCAUCUUGUACAGGAGGGCAGAUAGUGGAGUUAUCACCUCAUAGUCUGUUAUAUUGAAGUGUUGUGUACUUAAGGAUAAGAUUACUACAGAAAAAGUUAUGGUUGGCUUGAAGUGGAAUCCCCUAUCUCAUAACUUAUGAACCUUGGCUACAUGCAUCCUCUCAGAUGGGGAGCUUCUAAUUCUUGGAAGCCAUUGUAUUUUCUGGACACUAGACCCAGGAACAUUUGACCCCCUCACCAGUGCUUCCAUAACAUAAAAGAGAAAUAAAAAUAGAAAGCAAAGCAUUGGGUCAUAGUACCACACACUACUAUACCAGGCAUGUUAUUAGAUCAGGGAUGAGGGUGAGGAGACUUAGGCCUGGGUGAGGGGGCGGGGGUGGCAAAUGCAGCCCUCUCUAUUUGGCCCUCAGAAUCAUACAAAGGCCACAGCCCUCCCCAGGCUUUCUUUGCAACCUCCUUUAGUAUAUUUUUGCCUAGCUGGAACAUGUCCAUGAGCUCUGAUGUUUCUUCCCUGCCUGGAUGGAUGACAGAAAGGGGUGUGCAAAUGGUAUGUAGCCC
Molecule: non-coding RNA, 4232 nt
Organism: Podarcis lilfordi (Lilford's wall lizard)
Lineage: Eukaryota; Metazoa; Chordata; Lepidosauria; Squamata; Lacertidae
Source: the annotation of a GenBank genome assembly